This 253-nucleotide ribosomal RNA is filed under the name uncultured bacterium. RNAcentral describes it as "partial 16S ribosomal RNA". It matches the Rfam family "Bacterial small subunit ribosomal RNA", at positions 524 to 776 of the family's 1533-position model. The record is from RNAcentral.
GACAGAGGGUGCAAACGUUGCUCGGAAUCACUGGGCGUAAAGGGCUCGUAGGCGGCCAACUAAGUCAGACGUGAAAUCCCCCGGCUUAACCGGGGAACUGCGUCUGAUACUGGAUGGCUUGAGUUCGGGAGAGGGAUGCGGAAUUCCAGGUGUAGCGGUGAAAUGCGUAGAUAUCUGGAGGAACACCGGUGGCGAAGGCGGCAUCCUGGACCGACACUGACGCUGAGGAGCGAAAGCCAGGGGAGCAAACGGG